GCCUGCUCCGAGGAAGAAAAAAAUUUCUGCCCUGCACAGCCUUAGCCCUUACGCCUUCCGUCUUCUUCGAGUGUAACUACAAUUUUCAGAUUAGCCCCAUAUGGCACAUAGACUUACUCUCAACUCUAUCACUCCAAAAUCGCUAGAUUGGAUAUGCAUAAUACAAGUUAUCCACCCAGAGACACCAAAGAUAAGGCCAAGAAGUAUCAACUGCUUCUCUUACAGGAUGAAGAGGAAAAUCAAAUUCAGGCAACCAUAUGGAACACUGAUAUAACACAUUAUGCAAAACAUUUUAAGCCGUUCCAAACAUACCUGCUGUCAGUAGCACGUUAAAGAAUCGACUUACAGAUGUUCUUGCACUACUGAUUAACGCCGCCCCUCCAAGUUACGCAGCCAAUGUAAAGAGAAUACAAGAAUCUAUCAUCAUGGACACUUUGUAAGUCCAUACUUUCAAGUUUAUUCAUCUGUGAUAAGUACAUACUUAUCUUUGUUUUAGGCAAAUGAAAGUGCUUUAUCAAUGUUCCGUGAAAAACUAAUGCAACAAUGUUUGCUAAUUCAUAAUCUAAGGAUCUGCAGUAUUGUUAAGGUAGGAAAGUGCUGGAAUUUUGCCAUUUCAAAAACUAUAUUCUUAAAUUCAAAUGGUUUUUCUUCACCAU
Molecule: long non-coding RNA, 656 nt
Organism: Solanum tuberosum (potato)
Lineage: Eukaryota; Viridiplantae; Streptophyta; Magnoliopsida; Solanales; Solanaceae
Exons: 4
Source: RefSeq, a predicted model, not a curated record